GGGGAGUACGGCCGCAAGGUUAAAACUCAAAGGAAUUGACGGGGACCCGCACAAGCGGUGGAUGAUGUGGAUUAAUUCGAUGCAACGCGAAAAACCUUACCUACGCUUGACAUGCCAGAAACCCCGCAGAGAUGUGGGGGUGCCCGAAAGGGAAUCUGGACACAGGUGCUGCAUGGCUGUCGUCAGCUCGUGUCGUGAGAUGUUGGGUUAAGUCCCGCAACGAGCGCAACCCUUGUCCUUAGUUGCUACGCAAGGGCACUCUAAGGAGACUGCCGGUGACAAACCGGAGGAAGGUGGGGAUGACGUCAAGUCCUCAUGGCCCUUAUGUGUAGGGCUUCACACGUCAUACAAUGGUCGGUACAGAGGGUCGCCAACCCGCGAGGGGGAGCCAAUCCCAGAAAGCCGAUCGUAGUCCGGAUUGCACUCUGCAACUCGAGUGCAUGAAGUCGGAAUCGCUAGUAAUCGCGGAUCAGCAUGUCGCGGUGAAUACGUUCCCGGGUCUUGUACACACCGCCCGUCACACCAUGGGAGUGGGUUUUACCAGAAGUGGUUAGCUUAACCGCAAGGAGGGCGAUUACCACGGUAGGGCUCAUGACUGGGGUGAAGUCGUAACAAGGUAACCGUA
RNAcentral lists this ribosomal RNA (625 nucleotides) under uncultured beta proteobacterium. RNAcentral describes it as "bacterial SSU rRNA". It matches the Rfam family "Bacterial small subunit ribosomal RNA", at positions 875 to 1504 of the family's 1533-position model. Lineage: Bacteria; Pseudomonadati; Pseudomonadota; Betaproteobacteria. The record is from RNAcentral.